This 173-nucleotide non-coding RNA is filed under the name Spongiibacter marinus. RNAcentral describes it as "6S / SsrS RNA". It matches the Rfam family "6S / SsrS RNA". Rfam says of the family: E. coli 6S RNA was the first non coding RNA to be sequenced, but its function was unknown until recently. It consists of 184 nucleotides that fold into an extended hairpin structure with a large single-stranded internal bulge. The 6S RNA specifically associates with RNA polymerase holoenzyme containing the sigma70 specificity factor. The record is from RNAcentral. Lineage: Bacteria; Pseudomonadati; Pseudomonadota; Gammaproteobacteria; Cellvibrionales; Spongiibacteraceae.
UUCCUGGGAUAUGCGCUAGGCCGUCAGACCCCUGAGCCGAUGCUUUAAAACCCGGAGCGAACCAGCCAGUAUUUGUGUGCAUGUCCGCGUGACGGAAAGCCUAAAAAUGCUGCGGUAAGCUCCACCUUGAACCGCUGGGUUCAAGGGCCACGCGGCCGGCGGUAUCCUGGGUC